RNAcentral lists this ribosomal RNA (613 nucleotides) under uncultured bacterium. RNAcentral describes it as "bacterial SSU rRNA". It matches the Rfam family "Bacterial small subunit ribosomal RNA", at positions 295 to 924 of the family's 1533-position model. The record is from RNAcentral.
AGAGGGCACACGGCCACACUGGCACUGAAACACGGGCCAGACUCCUACGGGAGGCAGCAGUGGGGAAUCUUGCACAAUGGAGGAAACUCUGAUGCAGCGACGCCGCGUGAGCGAUGAAGCCCUUCGGGGUGUAAAGCUCUUUCGACGGGAACGAUAAUGACGGUACCCGGAGAAGAAGCUGCGGCUAACUACGUGCCAGCAGCCGCGGUAAUACGUAGGCAGCAAGCGUUGUUCGGAAUUACUGGGCGUAAAGAGUGUGUAGGCGGUUCUCUAUGUUCGGUGUGAAAUCUCCCGGCUUAACUGGGAGGGUGCGCCGAAAACUGGAGGGCUUGAGUAUGGGAGAGGAAAGCGGAAUUCCUGGUGUAGCGGUGAAAUGCGUAGAUAUCAGGAGGAACACCUGCGGUGUAGACGGCUUUCUGGACCAUCACUGACGCUGAGACACGAAAGCGUGGGUAGCAAACAGGAUUAGAUACCCUGGUAGUCCACGCCCUAAACGAUGCAUACUUGGUGUGAGCCGUUCAUUCGGUUCGUGCCGGAGCUAACGCGUUAAGUAUGCCGCCUGGGGAGUACGGUCGCAAGGCUGAAACUCAAAGGAAUGACGAAGGCGAAUCGU